RNAcentral lists this ribosomal RNA (449 nucleotides) under uncultured bacterium. RNAcentral's name for it is "partial 16S ribosomal RNA". It matches the Rfam family "Bacterial small subunit ribosomal RNA", at positions 339 to 795 of the family's 1533-position model. The record is from RNAcentral.
CUACGGGCGGCAGCAGUGGGGAAUAUUGCGCAAUGGGCGAAAGCCUGACGCAGCAACGCCGCGUGAGUGAUGAAGGCCUUCGGGUCGUAAAGCUCUGUCGGGAGGGAAGAACACCUUCGGGUCUGACGGUACCUCCCGAGGAAGCACAGGCUAACUCCGUGCCAGCAGCCGCGGUAAUACGGAGUGUGCAAGCGUUGUUCGGAAUUACUGGGCGUAAAGCGCGCGUAGGCGGCUUGGUAAGUCAGAUGUGAAAUCCCUCGGCUCAACCGAGGAACUGCAUUUGAAACUGCCAGGCUUGAGUACGGGAGGGGGAAGCGGAAUUCCCAGUGUAGAGGUGAAAUUCGUAGAUAUUGGGAGGAACACCAGCGGCGAAGGCGGCUUCCUGGACCGAUACUGACGCUGAGGCGCGAAAGCGUGGGGAUCAAACAGGAUUAGAUACCCCAGUAGUC